UCAAGGUUCUCAAGUGGUGAAGACUUAUUGAGGUGCUACAUAAGUGUGAGGAGAAUCCUAGAUGUUUUGAGUGGUGAAAAUCAAGCUGAUGGAUAAUAGGUCAAUGAUCUUUGCAGUUUGGAUCAUGGCUUAGAUCAAAAUAAAUCUCAUCAGCAAUCAUCUUGUCUUAAAAAUAUCAUUAUUCUGAGCCAACCAGAUAUGAUAAGUAACGUAAACAAUCUCAAUGCUGGC
RNAcentral lists this long non-coding RNA (231 nucleotides) under Elaeis guineensis (African oil palm). RNAcentral's name for it is "long non-coding RNA (EGUI_LNC000900)". Lineage: Eukaryota; Viridiplantae; Streptophyta; Magnoliopsida; Arecales; Arecaceae. The record is from RNAcentral.